AGUGAACGCUGGCGGUAGGCCUAACACAUGCAAGUCGAACGGCAGCACAGAGGAGCUUGCUCCUUGGGUGGCGAGUGGCGGACGGGUGAGGAAUACAUCGGAAUCUACUCUGUCGUGGGGGAUAACGUAGGGAAACGUACGCUAAUACCGCAUACGACCUACGGGUGAAAGCAGGGGAUCUUCGGACCUUGCGCGAUUGAAUGAGCCGGUGUCGGAUGAGCUAGUUGGCGGGGUAAAGGCCCACCAAGGCGACGAUCCGUAGCUGGUUUGAGAGGAGGAGCAGCCACCCUGGAACUGGGACACGGUCCAGACUCAUACGGGAGGCAGCAGUGGGGAAUAUUGGACAAUGGGCGCAAGCCUGAUCCAGCCAUACCGCGUGGGUGAAGAAGGCCUUCGGGUUGUAAAGCCCUUUUGUUGGGAAAGAAAUCCAUCUGGUUAAUACCCGGGUGGGAUGACGGUACCCAAAGAAUAAGCACCGGCUAACUUCGUGCCAGCCGCCGCCGUAA
RNAcentral lists this ribosomal RNA (506 nucleotides) under uncultured bacterium. RNAcentral's name for it is "partial 16S ribosomal RNA". It matches the Rfam family "Bacterial small subunit ribosomal RNA", at positions 29 to 523 of the family's 1533-position model. The record is from RNAcentral.